Molecule: ribosomal RNA, 468 nt
Filed under: uncultured bacterium
Lineage: Bacteria
Description: partial 16S ribosomal RNA
Rfam family: Bacterial small subunit ribosomal RNA
Source: RNAcentral
GACGAACGCUGGCGGCGUGCUUAACACAUGCGAGUCGAACGGAAAGGCCCUGCUUUUGUGCGGUGCUCGAUUGCCGAACGGGGGAGUAACACGUGAGUAACCUGCCCUUGACUUUGGGAUAACUUCACGAAACUGGGGCUAAUACCGGAUAGGAUCUCCUGCUCCAUGGUGGGCGUUGGAAAGUUUCGGCUGUUGGGGAUGUAUUCGCGGCUUAUCAGCUUGUUUGUGGGGUAGGUGUUUACCAAGGCUUUGACGGGUAGCCUGCAUGGGAGGGGGGCCGGGGACCAUAGGACUACGAGAGGGAGCAGAAGGGUACGUGCGGCAGUAGGGGGGAACAUUGCACAAUGGGCGGGAGUGAGAUGCAGCAACCUCGGGUGCGGGAAGCCGGCUUUUUGGUUGAAAACAGCUGUCGCAUGAGACGAAGCGUGAGUGACGGUAAUGAGUAAAGAAGCACCGGCUAACUACGUG